This 1562-nucleotide long non-coding RNA is filed under the name Prunus persica (peach). RNAcentral describes it as "long non-coding RNA (PPER_LNC000054)". Lineage: Eukaryota; Viridiplantae; Streptophyta; Magnoliopsida; Rosales; Rosaceae. The record is from RNAcentral.
CUAAAAGGAAAACAAAAAGGAAAGCAAAAGUCUAGCCUCCACUUCUCUUCCUUUCAAUCCCUAGCCGCCUCUCUAUCCUAAGGGACGGGGAGGGAAGGUCACUGCCUUUCCUCCCCUCUCCUUCCUUCUCCUUCCUUAUCUUCUCUCAUCCGCUUCCACGCUCUUUCCUCUUUCCUUUCUUUGUGGGUUUGGUUGUGCUCUUUGCUCUAUUUUUUGUUGCCCCAGUUCUCCUUAAAUCUCUCUCACCUUGUGAUGUCCUUUUGUUUUGCUGCCUUAUCUUGGUGUUAUUUGGAUUUUUUUUGUUUGCAGAUUUGUGGGUUUUGUGUGGCUGCGGUUUUUCCCUAAACCUGUGCUUCGAUAGUAGUGUUCAUGUUUUCAUGGUGGCGACGACGACAACUCUACUUUCUGUCAUCUCGGUUGGUUUUGCCCCUUUUUUUGGGUUGUAAUAAUUAUAUCAAAUCUCUUGUGAGUUGGGUGUUUUGCUUGUAGUUGAGUCUCUACUUGUAUUUUUUACUUGUGCGAGUUUAAAAGUUGCAGUUAUAUUGGUAGUUUUGGGCGCUAUUGUCCACGUCUGAUUUGUUUAAGCUUGUGGCUUUCAUGCGGAAAUUUGUUUGGCUUUAUGCCACUAUUAGUGGAGAUAUACUUGUGGUGUAUUUCUCUGUAUCUGGAAUAACCAUGCGUGGUUACUGUGCUUCCAUAUUUGUAUCAACCCUUUUUGGGUAGUUUAUGCCCUUAUGACUGAUGGCCUUGGUGCCUAAGUUAUGAAUACGAUUAUUGCUUACUCUCAAAAGAGAAAAGCAAAGUAGUAAAACUAAUUUAUUAAAGUUGUGUAUUAAAAUAGGAAAAUCUGAAGAUUAACUUACAUUAUUAUAUGCUGAAUCUACUUACAUACAAAAACAAUGUUGCAAAUACUAAAAGUUUUAAUAACAAUAUUUUAGAAUAAUAAAAGAAUCCAAUAAAUUAUCAAAUAAAAGAAUGCAAACCAUGCCUGAUGCAUCCAGCCUGGGGGGAUUCCUUCAAAAUACUUCAAAUGGAGUUCUUCUUAUGUUUUGUCAUCUUCAGAUAGCUGAAAAUGGGUUUCUCUGGUACAGGUAUAGACUUGACGACCCAACCAAUUGGCCAAGAAACAGCUGCAAUUCCAAUACAUGCACCCCAUUGCCCCCAAUUCAACCUCUCUGUAUCUGCAAACUUCUUGAGAAAUUCCACCAUCACCACCUGAAGCAGAAUUGUCACUGCAAUGAUCCCCAGAAACAAUUUGUUGGUGUGAAUUCCCUUGAACACAUUCUUCUUCUCAAGCUUCCUUGCAUUGAACUCAUUGAACACCUGGCACAGCACAAACGUGUUGAAGAUCAAGGUGUCCUUUACCUUGUCAUCCACGCCAAAGAUUGAUUUGCCUCUGAAUUGCAGGGUCAGGAGGAUUGCAAUCUGGUACAGUGCUUGAGGCAAGAGGUUCCUCCACAUGAUGUUGGUGAUGAGAGGCUCAGUCCUUCCCACUGGUUUCUUCUCCAUGAGUUCUUUUGUGGGCUUCUCAGUGGCAAGAGCAAGAGCACCUAGUGUGUCCA